GACGAACGCUGGCGGCGUGCUUAACACAUGCAAGUCGAACGGAAAGGCCCUGCUUUUGUGGGGUGCUCGAGUGGCGAACGGGUGAGUAACACGUGAGUAACCUGCCCUUGACUUUGGGAUAACUUCAGGAAACUGGGGCUAAUACCGGAUAGGAGCUCCUGCUGCAUGGUGGGGGUUGGAAAGUUUCGGCGGUUGGGGAUGGACUCGCGGCUUAUCAGCUUGUUGGUGGGUAGUGGCUUACCAAGGCUUUGGCGGGUAGCCGGCCUGAGAGGGCGACCGGCCACAUUGGGACUGAGAUACGGCCCAGACUCCUACGGGAGGCAGCAGUGGGGAAUAUUGCACAAUGGGCGGAAGCCUGAUGCAGCAACGCCGCGUGCGGGAUGACGGCCUUCGGGUUGUAAACCGCUUUCGCCUGUGACGAAGCGUGAGUGACGGUAAUGGGUAAAGAAGCACCGGCUAACUACGUG
Molecule: ribosomal RNA, 467 nt
Filed under: uncultured bacterium
Lineage: Bacteria
Description: partial 16S ribosomal RNA
Rfam family: Bacterial small subunit ribosomal RNA
Source: RNAcentral